This 315-nucleotide ribosomal RNA is filed under the name uncultured bacterium. RNAcentral describes it as "bacterial SSU rRNA". It matches the Rfam family "Bacterial small subunit ribosomal RNA", at positions 28 to 332 of the family's 1533-position model. The record is from RNAcentral.
GAUGAACGCUAGCUACAGGCUUAACACAUGCAAGUCGAGGGGCAGCGGGAUUGAAGCUUGCUUCAAUUGCCGGCGACCGGCGCACGGGUGAGUAACGCGUAUCCAACCCUUCCGUACACUCAGGGAUAGCCUUUCGAAAGAAAGAUUAAUACCUGAUGGUAUCUUAAGCACACAUGUAAUUAAGAUUAAAGAUUUAUCGGUGUACGAUGGGGAUGCGUUCCAUUAGGUAGUAGGCGGGGUAACGGCCCACCUAGCCUACGAUGGAUAGGGGUUCUGAGAGGAAGGUCCCCCCACAUUGGAACUGAGACACGGUCC